This 841-nucleotide long non-coding RNA is filed under the name Salvia miltiorrhiza (redroot sage). Its description in RNAcentral is "long non-coding RNA (SMIL_LNC005019)". The record is from RNAcentral. Lineage: Eukaryota; Viridiplantae; Streptophyta; Magnoliopsida; Lamiales; Lamiaceae.
UCCUGUUGGACUCUAGCUUCAAUCUGAGUUAAAAACACACAAGCAAUAGUUAUCGAUAUUAUGAAGCAAUAGCACAUAUAUUAAACAAAUCUAGAUUCAAAUACUAAUAAUACCACUACAGAGCUGUUGGCAAAGGCUUCCUCAACCACACUAGCACCCUCAGAGUUGGCUACAGGUUCGACGAAUUCUUUCUCAAUUGGAACCUUAAUUGAUUAUAAUGUACAUGCGUUAAAUCCAGAAUAACAGGAAAUCUAACAAUUCAGAAAUAAUCCUUUAACUAUCUGAAUAUCAUUAUUUUAAAAACCUAAUAAAUAUAACAAUCAAUUUGUUAACUAUAUAAAUUUGCCGAAUAGAAAUAUAUAGAUUUGCCGAAUUGAAUAUCAUUAUUUUACUAACCUAAUAAAGCUGACAUUCACUUGAAUAACCACACAAAUUCGCAGUCGGGCAAUACAUACAUUUCAAAGCAAGUAAAAUUCUGAAUAAAGGAAAACAGACCAAACGAAUAAAGGACCAAACGAAUAAAGGACCAAACCAAUUACCUCGUCACGAGUUCCCAGAUGAAGGUCGAAAGUAGGUAUUCCUUCUGUCGAUACCCUCUCACUCACCUUCUCAUUUUGUACCUUAUCAAAUGCUGCAUCAGCCGACGCAUGCAGCUCAGGAGAAUAAGAAAAUGGAUCAUCAUCAAUGGCCAUACCCUGAGGGCGACGCCAUGGUCGUGGGCCAUCCAUAUCCACCUUCAAUCCUGUAAUCGAACAUGCUGCAUCCACGCAUUGUCUAAAGUACGCUGACUCCCUGUCCACGAGGGAUGCACUGUAUAUCAAAUCCUCUAAAUCCUCCAGGU